UGGUAUUAUAAAUGUGGUUUUUAAAGAA
Molecule: non-coding RNA, 28 nt
Filed under: Mus musculus (house mouse)
Lineage: Eukaryota; Metazoa; Chordata; Mammalia; Rodentia; Muridae
Source: RNAcentral